UUUUUGCAGUUUAAUUCUCAGAGUUCUUCUAUCUCUUCUCAAGGGGGCCUUGGGCUAGGGGUUCAGGGACCAGACGCUGGGCAAACAAAAAGUGACGAGCAACAAGGCUUGGUCGAUGAUGCUGGUGUGGAGUUUGCUGCAACAACUGGACGGAUUAAGCACACCAAUGAAGAUGAAAUGAAGGCUCCUUACUCGGUUGCCACGCGGAUGCUCUUUGGACUACGAUAUGGACAUGAAGGCAUUUGUUUUAGUGCCAAAUAUUACUUACUAAUGCCCGCAAAGUAUCGU
Molecule: long non-coding RNA, 288 nt
Organism: Hordeum vulgare subsp. vulgare (domesticated barley)
Lineage: Eukaryota; Viridiplantae; Streptophyta; Magnoliopsida; Poales; Poaceae
Exons: 3
Source: RefSeq, a predicted model, not a curated record